CUACGGGCUGCACCAGGCGCGAAACCUUUACAAUGCACGAAAGUGUGAUAAGGGAAUCCCAAGUGCUCAUGUAUUGCAUGAGCUUUUGCCAAGAGUAAAUAUCUUGGCGAAUAAGUGGUGGGAAAGACUGGUGCCAGCAGCCGCGGUAACACCAGCGCCACAAGUGGCAAUCACAAUUAUUGGGCCUAAAGCGUCCGCAGCCGGAUUUGUUAAUCUUUUGUGAAAUCAUGGGGCUUAACUUCAUGUCGUGCAGGAGACACUGCAAAUCUUGGAACCGGGAGGAGUCAGAAGUAUUCUGGGGGGAGCGGUAAAAUGUUAUAAUCCCCGGAGGACUACCUGUGGCGAAGGCGUCUGACUAGAACGGAUUCGACGGUGAGGGACGAAGGCUGGGGGAGCAAACCGGAUUAGAUACCCCGGUAGUC
This 422-nucleotide ribosomal RNA is filed under the name uncultured archaeon. Its description in RNAcentral is "partial 16S ribosomal RNA". It matches the Rfam family "Archaeal small subunit ribosomal RNA", at positions 323 to 746 of the family's 1478-position model. The record is from RNAcentral.